RNAcentral lists this ribosomal RNA (237 nucleotides) under uncultured bacterium. RNAcentral describes it as "partial 16S ribosomal RNA". It matches the Rfam family "Bacterial small subunit ribosomal RNA", at positions 540 to 776 of the family's 1533-position model. The record is from RNAcentral.
GUUAAUCGGAAUUACUGGGCGUAAAGCGUGCGCAGGCGGUCUUUUAAGUCAGAUGUGAAAUCCCCGGGCUUAACCUGGGAACUGCGUUUGAAACUGGAAGGCUUGAGUGUGGCAGAGGGGGGUGGAAUUCCACGUGUAGCCGUGAAAUGCGUAGAUAUGUGGAGGAACACCGAUGGCGAAGGCAGCCCCCUGGGCUAACACUGACGCUCAUGCACGAAAGCGUGGGGAGCAAACAGG